AUGUGGGGGACCCAAUCAGGAGGCUCCGAGAUCGCUGGCAGCCCGUCCUGGGGAGGCGGCAGCCACUUGGCAGAGGAGCCAUGGAGGACCCGGUAGGGAGUAGGCGGCCGGCGCACAGAAAAGCCUCUGCAGCUUCCCCCACGGAAAGUGAGCCGGGCACCCGCCUCCCAGAAGGUCCCGGGAACCAGCGGGCACCGCCGGCCCCACCCCAUCUGCUCCAAACCCUUGCCACCUCGUGUGGGCACUGGCCACUCCACAUGGGGGCGGCCAUCCAACUUUGCAGCCCCAGUGGAAAGGGAUCUCUAGUUUCCAUUGACUGUUUGUGCUGCUGUCUGAUGGCCCCUACCGCACUCCAGCGAGGCCUGACCCCUAGCCCACUAAGGCCUCUCCUGCGUGUGGUGACCGACAGGGAGCCAGACCUCUUCCUGGCAUGCCAGUCACCUGCCAUCCAUCCAUCCACCCGUCUGUCCAUCUGUCCAUCCAUCCAUCUGUCUAUCC
This 498-nucleotide long non-coding RNA is filed under the name Equus asinus (donkey). Its description in RNAcentral is "lncRNA (ENSEASG00005037216.1)". Lineage: Eukaryota; Metazoa; Chordata; Mammalia; Perissodactyla; Equidae. The record is from RNAcentral.